Molecule: non-coding RNA, 97 nt
Organism: Podarcis lilfordi (Lilford's wall lizard)
Lineage: Eukaryota; Metazoa; Chordata; Lepidosauria; Squamata; Lacertidae
Source: the annotation of a GenBank genome assembly
UCUUCAGCUGUUUUUUGGACUACAAUCCCCAUCAUCCCUGACCACUGGUCCUGCUAGCUAGGGACGAUGGGGGCUGUAGUCCAGAAACAGCUGAAGA